RNAcentral lists this ribosomal RNA (162 nucleotides) under Halophila stipulacea. RNAcentral's name for it is "5.8S ribosomal RNA". It matches the Rfam family "5.8S ribosomal RNA". From Rfam's summary of the family: 5.8S ribosomal RNA (5.8S rRNA) is a component of the large subunit of the eukaryotic ribosome. It is transcribed by RNA polymerase I as part of the 45S precursor that also contains 18S and 28S rRNA. Lineage: Eukaryota; Viridiplantae; Streptophyta; Magnoliopsida; Alismatales; Hydrocharitaceae. The record is from RNAcentral.
GGAUGACUCUCGGCAAUGGAUAUCUAGGCUCUCGCAUCGAUGAAGAACAUAGCGAAAUGCGAUACUUGGUGUGAAUUGCAGAAUCCCGUGAACCAUCGAGUCUUUGAACGCAAGUUGCGCCCGGAGCCGUCAGGCCGAGGGCACGUCUGCCUGGGCGACCGA